CCAGGCUCGCACUGGUUUUGCCAAGGUGUGCUUGCGUGAUUCUUGCGCUCUUAAACUUUUGUUGCUUUUACCUAAGGUGCACUGACUUUGUCCUUGAAAUAUUUAACUGUGCCUCCUAAGCGUCCGAUGCCAUGUCCUGGGCCACCAGCCGAGCGGCAGAACCGCUUGAAAAAAAGUUGGAAAUUAUAAACAGCGCUGCAUCAGCCGACGGUAACCCAGCUCUGGGGCGCUACUGCCGGGAACAGAAUCUUGCCUUCAAAGUUCUUUUGUUGCUUUGACAAUGCGCCAGCCCAUCCUAAACAUUUGGACAACAUUAAUCGUAAUAUAAAAUUGUGUUUCCUGCCGCCUAACACAGCAUCGCUGAUUCAGCCACUCGACCAAGGUGUGAUCCACAUUCAAGGCUUUUUUUUUAUGGCGAAUUAUCUCUCAGAUGCUGCGAGCAACAGAUGAUUUUGAAAAUUCCGGGAGUUUACCAACGGUGAGGGAAUGGUGGAAGUGGGAACACUUGGCGCAAAUGGCGAUGGGCAUGGACCCAAGUUUAGAAUGGAGUCAGCAUUUCCGUCGUUCCCGGCCGUCAACCCUUCUUCCCUACAAGCAAAUUUAUGCUGAAAACCAAAAUGCUGCCAAGCAGACAACUCUCACCACUUUCUUCAAACCGGUGUCAUCUCCUGCUGCCAGCAGUUUUAAGAGUUCUGAGAGCUUUCCUUCACCCCAUGCUGUGCUUGAUGAUCCUGACGACCCACAACCAUCUAACUUAUCCAUGUAACGCUGCCAGACACCACAACAACCACUCAUCCCCUGGAGCCAACAUACCUGCCACUGUUGAUUUUAGGAUUGAUCCAGUUCCAGAAGUUGGGAAAGACCGGAUGAAGAGAAUCCAGGCUGCAAGGAUUUGAAGUUGUAUGCAAUUUGCAGGAAGAAAUUUAGCCCCCGUGGGGACUUUGCUUGUUACAGCAGGCUGCAGAACCAGUUCGCCCCCGAUCAAAGUCGAUUAAAAUAGCCAUGAGAAAAGAAGUGACUAGAAACUAGAGUGUCCAAACCGCAUCGAUUAAACCGUGCCCGAGACCCAACACCCUGGCACCAUCCGCUGGCAGCAGUGACUGAGAGGGAGAGAGAGAGACUGUUCAAAUACAGGCGCCUUCCUCCAAGAGCAGCAAGCGAGCGAGAGGAGAGACCGAUCAAACGCAGCAGCGAGUGAGAGGAAGAAGGGAGAGAGAGACGUUUCUGAGGCAUCGCCUCAAUAGUAUGACUGAGUGAAAAUAAAAAUCAGGAGAGAUUGCCCUAAGUCAAGGUGACCCCCAUCAUUCUUCAUGUUGUAAACAGCACACAUUGGUUUAUGUUACCUUGCAACAGCUGUACCAUUCUCAAUGUACUUUGGGAUGUUGUGUAUGCAUUAUGUGACAAGCGACAACGUCUGAACCUAUGUCAAGCCAAGUCAACUCAAGUUUAUUGUCAUUUAACUAUAUGCAUGUGUACCAUCAACAUUUCUCCGGACCAGGGUGUAACACACAGUAGUACACAUAACACACAAUAACUUAUGAAAGUAAGUAUGAAAUUUACAGAUGGAUUACACAUAAGUAAACAAACUAAAGUGCAUAAAUUAAAUAUUGUAAGGUACAGAACAGAUUAACCAGUGACACUUUGAAUGCGAUGCGGCAGGGAGUUCUGAAUCCUAACGGCCUGAGGGAAGAAACUGUUUCCCAUCCUGACCGUUCUUGUCUUUCUUCAUCGGAGUCUCCUGCCUGAUGGUAGAAAGUCAAAGAGGAUGCUGGAUGGACGGGUGGGAUCCUGAUAAUACUAAGGGCCCUGUGUACGCAGCGCUCCUGAUAAAUGUCCCCGAGGGACGGUAGGGAGACCCCACGAACCUCUCGGCCGUUCUCACAGUCCUUUGUAGGGACUCCCGGUCCGAUGCUUGGCUGCUCCCACACCAGAUGGAAAUGCAACUGUCAGGGUGCUCUCAAAGGUGCUCCUGUAAAAUUCAGCUAAAAUGGGGGGAAUUCCUGGCUUUCCUCAAUCUUCUUGGGAAGUGGAGGCUGCUGUGCCUUCUAAUUCGGGGAGGUGAUAUUGAGGGAUCAGGUGAGGUUAGCUGUGAUGUGAACUCACAGGAACUUGGUGCAUGUAACUCUCUCUACAGAGGCACAAUCUCAGGCAGCAAUAACGCUUUUUAUCAUUUCGCAGAGUUGGAGAUGUAAUUGAAUUGGUUACGAGGAGGCAUGGUAGGGUCUCAGCCCAAAACAUCGAUUGCUUAUCAUUUCCAUAGAUGCUGCCUGACCUGCUGAAUUCCUUCAGCAUCCCCUGAUCAAUCAAACAUCUAUCAUAACUUUAUCCGAUAUUCUGAAUCACCACUUAGAACCCAACCCUUUAAUUGCUUUGUUUGGUUUUUUGGGUGAGACAGAUAUACGUUUGAGUUCGACUAAGUGUCGAAUAUUAUCUUUUGCUUCUCUCCUGGCUAGACGUUUAAUCCUCUGUAGAUGGAGAGAUGUUGCCCCGCCCACGCAUGUUCAAUGGCUUAAUGAUAUUAUGUCCUGCUUAGACCUUGAAAAAAUUCAUUAUUCAGUUCUUAAUUCGGAUUUAAAGUUCCCUAAGGUCUGGGGACCUUUUAUUGAGCACUUUCAUAACCUUCCUCUUAAUUAAAGAUUUUUUUUCGGUCCCUUGCUUUCAGCUCUUUUUUUUUGGUAGUAGGCAUUAUUAUCUUCUGUUUUCAAAUUUAUUUACAAUUUUGGGGGUUUGAAUGUCCUGAUUUAUAUUCUCUAUAUUGUGUUGUGGUUGGUCUGGAGUGUUUUUUUUGCUGUGGGGCUUGGGGAGGAUACUAACAUUAUAUGACUUCAAUUUGGGUGCUUUCUCAAUGAUCUUUUUUGUAUUACAUUAUUAUUGUAUGUUUAUUUUUGCACUGUAUUAAUUUUCUUCAUUCUGGU
Hypanus sabinus (Atlantic stingray) is the source of this 2915-nucleotide long non-coding RNA. RefSeq lists it as uncharacterized. The transcript has 3 exons. Lineage: Eukaryota; Metazoa; Chordata; Chondrichthyes; Myliobatiformes; Dasyatidae. The record is from RefSeq and is a predicted model, not a curated record.